GGGGAUGGUAGACUCUCUCCUUUCUCUCUCUUAAGAAUCCUUGAGAGAAAAAGUCUGAGUCGUGGUGGUUCCCUCUUGUUUGAUCUUGUCCCGACAUCUGUGGUUCCGUUCCUGUUUGGAGCUACAUGUCUGGUGUUCUGUUCCAGUAUCGCACCUAUCGUGGGGUGGAUGUGCCUUUUGACUCUGGGGCCGUGCCGUUCCUUCUUCGGCGGUGGUCGCCGGCUAUCGUACUUUCGGAAGUGCUCGAGUGAUGUGAUGUUUUCGUUUCGUGUUUGGUGAUGUGAGUUUGGAUGAGCUCUCGAUUCUAAUCGAUGAUGCUCUCCAACGCUGGUUUGUUUGCGUGGUGGCUGCUGAAUCUCCUAAACCUUUAAUACAGUCGUUGGAGGUGGUUUUUCGGUGGAUAUGGUCAAGUUCCCGGUUGUUCUCCGGAGGUUAAUUGAUUUGGUUUGUUCAUGCUUGUCGAUGAAGACAGUGGAAGCUCGUGUUCCGGUAAGAUGUCGGUGGUGCGUCGCUGAGAGGUCCCGGCAGAUCAAGCCAAAAGAGACGCUGACGGUUCAACUUUAAGCCACGUGUUUUCUUUUUGGUGUGUGGGUAACACGUGGGUUUGACGAAUGGAUCACUAUCUAUUUCUCUUUUGGGCUUGGAAAUAGUUGAAGGCAUGGUUGGUCUUUUGUUUCUGUAUGUUUUUUACAGUCUAGUCUUUGGGCCCUGUAUUUCUGUAGUUUAUAUUAUGCCUUUGAGCCUUUAUAAAAUAUUUUCAGUGAA
This 765-nucleotide long non-coding RNA is filed under the name Brassica napus (rape). RNAcentral describes it as "long non-coding RNA (BNAP_LNC008131)". The record is from RNAcentral. Lineage: Eukaryota; Viridiplantae; Streptophyta; Magnoliopsida; Brassicales; Brassicaceae.